AAGAUUACCCGUUUAAUGUUUUAUAAAACGGCUAAUUAAACGAUUUAAAUUAAACAACACAAUCUUAUAUUAUAAAACAUAAAAAAAAAAAAAAUUACGCUCCAGCUCUAAACAACGCAAUUAGGGAUUUAUCAGCAGUACCACCGCCGGUGCUACAACACCUCCACCGUCCCGCUUCAACUGCCCGCGAUUGCUGCGACUGCACCGCGACCUUUACCACCAUGCCGAGAGUGCUGCCGCCGACGCACAAUUGCUUCCGCCGACGCACAAUUGCUUCCACCGACGCACGAUCGCUUCCACCGACGCACAUCCGCUUCCACCGUCGCACAUCCGCUUCCAUGGUCGCACAACCGCUUCCGACACGCCACUAACGCUACCAUUACGAAUUCGAGGCAUAAAUUGGAAUUAGUUAUUUUUCGAUAUCAGCGAGGUUAAAACAGUUUUCCAGAAUCAACUCAAGGAUAUCAUGAAUCACUCAAGUCAUCUUUCGAGGUUUUGAAAAAUGUUUCAUACAGGUGAGCUAGCAUUGAUGUAGAACCAUUGUCAAGGAUAAGGCUAUUAAUUGUUAUCAAAGAUAAGGCAGUUAACCCAUUUCGAGUUAUGAAUCGUGGAAAGCGCCAACGCAAAUCUAUCUCACAGGUAGAUGGAGAAUGUAGCUUAUUUUUUUGUAUUUGUCGAAUUUUGCAGACUGCGGUUAAAUGCUUAGGUCAGCUUCAACACGAGAACUUGGUUAAGCUGAUCGAGUAUUGUUCGGAAUCUAAAAACAUAAUGCUUGUUUACGAAUUCAUGCCUAAAGGAAUCUUGGAGAAUCACUUGUUCAAGAGAGGAGUACAGCCGAUGGCGUGGUGUACGAGAAUGCAGAUAGCGAUUGAUUUUGUGAGAGGAUUGACGUUCUUGCAUAGUUUAAAUGCCAACAUAAUUUACCGCGAUUUAAAGGCUUCCAAUAUUCUAAUUGAUUCGAAGUUUCGUGCGAAACUUUCGGAUUUCGGGCUCGCAAGAAAGGCCAUCAUCAUCUCAUUUUCAUAUUCCACUUAAUGGUAAUGCUGAAUUUAUGGAGUCUGAUAGUGACGCAAAUGAGGCUUCAUCAACGCCACCUGGCAAACUUCUCGCUUGAAGAUAACUUUAAACAUCAGUUCUUAAAGAAGUUGAGCGUAAUGUGGAAGAAUUGGAAAUCGGAGGUAAAAACAUCUUAUUAUUCUAUGCAUGAGACGGAUGUGGAUCGAUUGGCUAAUUGUCCUGACCUUGUGGAAAAAGACCAACGACCUACUUUAGUUCAUUAUUGGAGUUCUAGUAGUGUAAAGGAAAUGAGUCUAAAAAAUGCUUCGAACAGAGGUAACCAAAAAGUGCCACAUAGAACUGGAAAAAAAGAGUUAUGCUGUCGUGAGGAAUGAGAUGCAAAUGGAAAACGGUGAGGAUCCUACAGACUAAGACUUUUGGAUGGCGACACAUGUUGGUUUUGCCAAGAGCACAUUGGAUAAGAAGACUUCUAAAUUUAUUGCGUGUUAUUUAUUAUUUAUAUUUUGAUAAUCUUUGUUUUCAAUAACCUUCUAACUAUUUAUAUCAUUUGUAGGGAAAGAUUAAACAAUUAGUCUAGCAAGCCUCAAGUCCAAGAAACUGAUGCGCGAAUUCAACAAUCAGGUGCAAACAAGGUCAAACUUAAAAAGAGAAAACUUUAUGGGAUUGUAAGGAGUAUUUGGAAAAGUUGAUGGUUGAUGUGAAGUUGAAGUAUCACUGCAGACCAUUAAGGAAGACACUAUAUGGUCAUCGGAGCAAGGAUAUGCAUGCCACUAAUCAGCCAAAUGUAAUUAAUUUCAAAGUUAUUUGUUUUUAAUUUGUUGUUUUUGUUAGAAGUAUUAAUACUUCAAGUUCAAGUGUUGUUUUGAAGAUAUAGUUUGUAAAGUUUGGUAUACUUUUGGAAAGCAAGAAUUCAUGUUUUGAAGAUAGAUUUCAUAAAGUUUGUUAAUAUUUGUGUUUGUAUUUGGCAUCUGUUA
This is a non-coding RNA of Erythranthe guttata (spotted monkey flower), 1991 nucleotides long. The record is from RefSeq and is a predicted model, not a curated record. Lineage: Eukaryota; Viridiplantae; Streptophyta; Magnoliopsida; Lamiales; Phrymaceae.